GCAGUCGCGGCCGAGUGGUUAAGGCGAUGGUCUAGAAAUCCAUUGAGGUCUCCCCGCACAGGUUCGAAUCCUGUCGACUGCG
RNAcentral lists this transfer RNA (82 nucleotides) under Ixodes scapularis (black-legged tick). It matches the Rfam family "tRNA". From Rfam's summary of the family: Transfer RNA (tRNA) molecules are approximately 80 nucleotides in length. Their secondary structure includes four short double-helical elements and three loops (D, anti-codon, and T loops). Lineage: Eukaryota; Metazoa; Arthropoda; Arachnida; Ixodida; Ixodidae. The record is from Rfam by way of RNAcentral.